This 497-nucleotide ribosomal RNA is filed under the name uncultured bacterium. RNAcentral describes it as "partial 16S ribosomal RNA". It matches the Rfam family "Bacterial small subunit ribosomal RNA", at positions 28 to 507 of the family's 1533-position model. The record is from RNAcentral.
GAUGAACGCUGGCGGCGUGCCUAAUACAUGCAAGUCGAGCGAACGGACGAGAAGCUUGCUUCGCUGAUGUUAGGGGCGGACGGGUGAGUAACACGUGUAUAACCUACCUAUAAGACGGGGAUAACUACGGGAAACCGGAGCUAAUACCGGAUAAUAUUUUGAACCGCAUGGUGCAAAAGUGAAAGACGGUCUUGCUGUCUCUUAUAGAGGGUUCCGCGCUGCAUUAGCUAGUUGGUAAGGUAACGGCUUACCAAGGCAACGAUGCAUAGCCGACCUGAGAGAGUGAUCGGCCACCCUGGAACUUGGCCACGGUCCAGGCUCCUGCGGGAGGCCGCAGUAGGGAAUCUUCCGCAGUGGGCGGAAGCCUGACAGAGCGACGCCGCGUGAGUGGUGGAAGUCUUCGGAUCGUAAAGCUCUGUUAUUAGGGAAGAACAUAUGUGUACUUAACUGUGCACAUCUUGACGGUAACUAGUAAGAAAGCCCCGGCUAACUACGUG